UACGUAGGGGGCAAGCGUUGUCCGGAUUUAUUGGGCGUAAAGAGCGUGUAGGCGGCUAGGUAGGUCCGUUGUGAAAACUCGAGGCUCAACCUCGAGACGCCGAUGGAAACCAUCUAGCUAGAGUCCGGAAGAGGAGAGUGGAAUUCCUGGUGUAGCGGUGAAAUGCGCAGAUAUCAGGAAGAACACCCGUGGCGAAGGCGGCUCUCUAGUACGGUACUGACGCUGAGACGCGAAAGCGUGGGGAGCGAACAGG
This 253-nucleotide ribosomal RNA is filed under the name uncultured bacterium. RNAcentral's name for it is "partial 16S ribosomal RNA". It matches the Rfam family "Bacterial small subunit ribosomal RNA", at positions 524 to 776 of the family's 1533-position model. The record is from RNAcentral.